Molecule: transfer RNA, 26 nt
Filed under: Anolis distichus dominicensis
Lineage: Eukaryota; Metazoa; Chordata; Lepidosauria; Squamata; Anolidae
Description: partial tRNA-Asx
Source: RNAcentral
CGCGGGAUCAAGGCCCGCCUAUUCAG